AGGGUUCGAUUCUGGCUCAGAACGAACGCUGGCGGCGUGCUUAACACAUGCAAGUUGAACGGAGUCAUUUGAAGUAGCAAUACGGAGAGAUGACUUAGUGGCGGACGGGUGAGUAACACGUAGGUAACCAACCCUGAAGCGGGGGACAACCCAGGGGAAACUUGGGCUAAUACCGCAUAAGACCACGGACUGGAAUGUUUGUGGUAAAAAGUAGCAAUACACUUCAGGCUGGGCCUGCGGCCUAUCAGGUAGUUGGUAAGGUAAUGGCUUACCAAGCCUAAGACGGGUAGCCGGACUGAGAGGUUGAACGGCCACACUGGAACUGAGACACGGUCCAGACUCCUACGGGAGGCAGCAGUGGGGAAUUUUGCACAAUGGGCGAAAGCCUGAUGCAGCGACGCCGCGUGGAGGAUGAAGGUUUUCGGAUUGUAAACUCCUUUUGCAGGGGAAGAUAAUGACGGUACCCUGCGAAUAAGCCACGGCUAACUCUGUGCCAGCAGCCGC
RNAcentral lists this ribosomal RNA (504 nucleotides) under uncultured bacterium. Its description in RNAcentral is "bacterial SSU rRNA". It matches the Rfam family "Bacterial small subunit ribosomal RNA", at positions 8 to 518 of the family's 1533-position model. The record is from RNAcentral.